UGUAUAUAAGUAGCUUAAUUUCUUCUAGCUUCCUCGUUAAUCUUUUCAAACAAUUUUUAGUGUAUCACCCUAGCUAGAAAGGCAAAGCAAGAAGAUAAUGAGGCCUGCAACCUUUGGGGUGAUACUCCUUUUGAUGUUGAGCGUAUCAAUGUGCAUGGGCAGAGACAAGAAGACCUUCAAGGAUCAAAUGAAUGUAAGGAACGAGAAGUUUCCAAACCAUGAAAAUGAAAACCACAACCCGGGUUUUGCGUAUGGUGGACGCAGUGUGAAUAAUCAUCAUUACAUCCCCAGGCAGGACUUCAACAACAAUGAUGGUGCUGAUAAAAUUGGGAAUGGAAGUGGAUAUUGAUAAAAUUUUAUGUUGUUAUAGAGUAUGUUCUUGUUUGAGGCAGAAGACCCGAUAUGGUUCAUUCAGGUCUAUAAAUUAAAUAAAAGGUACUCAGAGCCUGUGCAGCUACAGGCCUAUGAUGUGUAUAUAGUGAAAUAUGUAUAAAUUGUACACACACUCGUGGAUUGUGAAAUGUGGACAUAAGCAAUACACCCAAAAA
Molecule: long non-coding RNA, 548 nt
Organism: Glycine soja
Lineage: Eukaryota; Viridiplantae; Streptophyta; Magnoliopsida; Fabales; Fabaceae
Exons: 2
Source: RefSeq, a predicted model, not a curated record